UCGUUAGCUCAGUUGGUAGAGCAGUUGGCUUUUAACCAAUUGGUCGAUGGUUCGAAUCCAUCACGA
RNAcentral lists this transfer RNA (66 nucleotides) under Marinobacter litoralis. It matches the Rfam family "tRNA". Rfam says of the family: Transfer RNA (tRNA) molecules are approximately 80 nucleotides in length. Their secondary structure includes four short double-helical elements and three loops (D, anti-codon, and T loops). Lineage: Bacteria; Pseudomonadati; Pseudomonadota; Gammaproteobacteria; Pseudomonadales; Marinobacteraceae. RNAcentral also lists the same sequence under 4 other names. The record is from RNAcentral.